This 91-nucleotide ribosomal RNA is filed under the name Algoriphagus sp. RNAcentral's name for it is "partial 23S ribosomal RNA". It matches the Rfam family "Bacterial large subunit ribosomal RNA", at positions 2833 to 2925 of the family's 2925-position model. The record is from RNAcentral. Lineage: Bacteria; Pseudomonadati; Bacteroidota; Cytophagia; Cytophagales; Cyclobacteriaceae.
GGCCGUCAGAGACGAUGACGUUGAUAGGCUGCAGGUGUAAAGUCAGCAAUGGCAUAGCUGAGCAGUACUAAUUGCCCGAAAGCUUACCUAC